This 968-nucleotide long non-coding RNA is filed under the name Zea mays. Its description in RNAcentral is "long non-coding RNA (ZMAY_LNC003560)". Lineage: Eukaryota; Viridiplantae; Streptophyta; Magnoliopsida; Poales; Poaceae. The record is from RNAcentral.
GAACCGUUUUUUUCGGCCCGCGCGCCAUGGCGAACUCCUCGUUUUCAGCCCAUACGCAAGGCCGAACAGCCCUGCCGCCCGUCGCCGCGCGCCUCCUCCCGUUUUCCCUCCGUUCCACCUUUACCUUCACUCAGACAUGCGCUCUAGGUUCGGUGUCUUUCCACACGCUGGACUUAGCCCGUUUUCGCGCCGUGGCCGAACCGUUGUUUUCGGCCCGCGCGCCAUGGCGAACCCCUCGUUUUCGCCCAACGCAAGGCCGAACAGCCUGCCGCCCGUCGCCGCGCCUCCUCCGUUUUCCCUCCGUUCCGCCUGCCCUUCACCAAGACAUACUUUACUUCGGUGUCUUUCCACACGCUUGGACUUAGCUUUUCGGGCCUGCCGAACCGUUUUCGGCCCGCGCGCCAUGGCGAACCCCUGUUUUCAGCCCACGCAAGGCCGAACGCCCUGCCGCCGUCGCCGCGCGCCUCCUCCCGUUUUCCCUCCGUUCCACCUUGCCUUCACUCAAGACAUGCACUUUAGGUUCGGUGUCUUUCCACACGCUUGGACUUAGCUUAUUUCGGCGUGCCGACGUUUUCGGCCCGCGCCAUGGCGACCCCGCCCAAGGCCGAACAGCCUGCCGCCCGUCGCCUUGCGCCUCCGUGCCGUUUUCCCUCCGUUCCGCCAUGCCCUUCACCCAAGACAUACAUAUUACCUUCGGUGUCUUUCCACACGCUUGGACUUAGCUUAUUUCCGGGCCAUGCCCGAACCUCGGUUUUCGGCCCGCGCGCCAUGGCGAACCCCUUGUUUUCAGCCCAGGCGCAAGGCCGAACGGCCCUGCCGCUCGUCGCCGCGCGCCUCCUCCCGUUUUCCCUCCGUUCCACCUUGCGCUUCAAUCAAGACAUGCACUUUAGGUUCGGUGUCUUUCCACACGCUUGGACUUAGCUUAUUUUCGAGUUCGUGCCCGAGCCUCCGUUUUCGGCCCGUGCGCC